GUGCUUGCUUUGGCAGCACAUAUACUAAAAUCAGAAUGAUACAGAGAAGAUUAGCAUGGCCCCUAAACAAGGAAGACACACAAAUUCAUAAAGCGUUCCAUAUAAAA
RNAcentral lists this small nuclear RNA (107 nucleotides) under Propithecus coquereli (Coquerel's sifaka). The record is from RNAcentral. Lineage: Eukaryota; Metazoa; Chordata; Mammalia; Primates; Indriidae.